RNAcentral lists this long non-coding RNA (703 nucleotides) under Homo sapiens (human). RNAcentral describes it as "HSALNT0350316". Lineage: Eukaryota; Metazoa; Chordata; Mammalia; Primates; Hominidae. The record is from RNAcentral.
AUCUGCCCUGGUGCGAAACUGAGGCCUGCUCCUCGAUGUAACUAGAAGGAUGCAAGGAACUAGGAUGAAAUUUUGUCUGCUGUGGCUUGAUUUUAUUUAACACCUUAUGCAUGUGCCUCAAAAAUGAUGUUGGGGAACCCCAACUGCAUCCUCCUAAGGCCCCUCUCUGGGAUAUGCAGGCCUUGGUGGUCUUGUUGGUCAUUUCCUGUGUAAAAGUUUGUGCAGCAUGCCUCCAGUUGUGUAAAGAAUGUAAAAGGGAAAUGUCUCAAAACAGAAGAAGACGCCUGUGGGCAGCACCUUCUGCAGAGUGAUCCUGGGAGCUGGAAAGAAGACUCACUUUUCAUUUUACAACCUUGGGCACUGUAAGGAUAUUUUGGGCUUGCACUGUGGAAUAGUCAGCCCACAUCCCUAUGGAACCACCCACCUUUCCAAAAAAUCCUCCAAGCUGGUAAAGGCUGGAUUGUCAAGGAAGUCCCCCACUGUGCCUUUUUCUUUCUGGCAGCCCUCUGCUCCAUUGAUGAAGGUUCAGCCAGGAGUCCUGGGCUGCCCCUCCAUCAAGACCAAGCUGGCUCACGGUCACUUGUGACAAUAAGUAAAGCAUCCCCAUCAUCAUCAUCAACUGACAAAAACUGAUCCCACCCCAGUCCCCAUGCUGGGGCCUGGGUGCUAAAGACAAGAUCUCGGCUGAGCACGCCACUGCCUG